GUACUCGAGCGGCGAACGGGUGAGUAACACGUGAGCAACCUGCCCCUGACUCUGGGAUAAGCCCGGGAAACUGGGUCUAAUACCGGAUACGACCACUGAUCGCAUGAUCGUGUGGUGGAAAGUUUUUCGGUUGGGGAUGGGCUCGCGGCCUAUCAGCUUGUUGGUGGGGUGAUGGCCUACCAAGGCGACGACGGGUAACCGGCCUGAGAGGGCGACCGGUCACACUGGGACUGAGACACGGCCCAGACUCCUACGGGAGGCAGCAGUGGGGAAUAUUGCGCAAUGGGCGAAAGCCUGACGCAGCGACGCCGCGUGAGGGAUGACGGCCUUCGGGUUGUAAACCUCUUUCAGCAGGGACGAAGCUAACGUGACGGUACCUGCAGAAGAAGCGCCGGCUAACUACGUGCCAGCAGCCGCGGUAAUACGUAGGGCGCAAGCGUUGUCCGGAAUUAUUGGGCGUAAAGAGCUCGUAGGCGGUUUGUCGCGUCUGUCGUGAAAGCCCACGGCUUAACCGUGGGUCUGCGGUGGAUACGGGCAGACUAGAGGCAGGUAGGGGAGAACGGAAUUCCCGGUGUAGCGGUGAAAUGCGCAGAUAUCGGGAGGAACACCGGUGGCGAAGGCGGUUCUCUGGGCCUGUACUGACGCUGAGGAGCGAAAGCGUG
This 662-nucleotide ribosomal RNA is filed under the name Actinomadura sp. RNAcentral describes it as "bacterial SSU rRNA". It matches the Rfam family "Bacterial small subunit ribosomal RNA", at positions 87 to 763 of the family's 1533-position model. The record is from RNAcentral. Lineage: Bacteria; Bacillati; Actinomycetota; Actinomycetes; Streptosporangiales; Thermomonosporaceae.